CAGUCGAGCGGAACGAGUUGUCUGAACCUUCGGGGAACGAUAACGGCGUCGAGCGGCGGACGGGUGAGUAAUGCCUAGGAAAUUGCCCUGAUGUGGGGGAUAACCAUUGGAAACGAUGGCUAAUACCGCAUAAUGCCUACGGGCCAAAGAGGGGGACCUUCGGGCCUCUCGCGUCAGGAUAUGCCUAGGUGGGAUUAGCUAGUUGGUGAGGUAAUGGCUCACCAAGGCGACGAUCCCUAGCUGGUCUGAGAGGAUGAUCAGCCACACUGGAACUGAGACACGGUCCAGACUCCUACGGGAGGCAGCAGUGGGGAAUAUUGCACAAUGGGCGCAAGCCUGAUGCAGCCAUGCCGCGUGUGUGAAGAAGGCCUUCGGGUUGUAAAGCACUUUCAGUCGUGAGGAAGGUAGUGUAGUUAAUAGCUGCAUUACUUGACGUUAGCGACAGAAGAAGCACCGGCUAACUCCGUGCCAGCAGCCGCGGUAAUACGGAGGGUGCGAGCGUUAAUCGGAAUUACUGGGCGUAAAGCGCAUGCAGGUGGUUUGUUAAGUCAGAUGUGAAAGCCCGGGGCUCAACCUCGGAAUAGCAUUUGAAACUGGCAGACUAGAGUACUGUAGAGGGGGGUAGAAUUUCAGGUGUAGCGGUGAAAUGCGUAGAGAUCUGAAGGAAUACCAGUGGCG
This 678-nucleotide ribosomal RNA is filed under the name uncultured bacterium. RNAcentral's name for it is "bacterial SSU rRNA". It matches the Rfam family "Bacterial small subunit ribosomal RNA", at positions 59 to 717 of the family's 1533-position model. The record is from RNAcentral.